GAAAUUUCCAGGAAAAACUCCCUCCAUCACGUCUCCUUCACGCGUAAACUCCUCCCCCAAACACCCUCCUCUCUCUCCUUCUCUCUAUCGCGCGUGAAGGAACAAAUUUGUGUCGUCUUCCUCUGUGAUUCAUACAACAGUACGCCCGCGUAGCUGCAGCAAUGAAGGCUGCAAAUCCCAUCCUUGUAGCGUAGGAUCAUUCCACGUAAUGGUGCAAGGACACGCGAUUAAUCUGAUCCCUCUAUGUGUGCUCCCUUUCCGUUGGAAUGCGACAAAUUCGAGAGCAUCUUCAGGGCAUAUUCCCUCAACCUUUGGAUAAGAUUUGGGCGUGUAAAGGCAUCUUCCAGCCAUUUCCCUUGGAAAAACCCUAAUUUUCCUCUAUUUAAACUCUCGUCUUGCUUCAGAAAACGGAUUGGAAAAU
This 421-nucleotide unclassified non-coding RNA is filed under the name Hevea brasiliensis (rubber tree). Lineage: Eukaryota; Viridiplantae; Streptophyta; Magnoliopsida; Malpighiales; Euphorbiaceae. The record is from RNAcentral.